RNAcentral lists this transfer RNA (73 nucleotides) under Gynuella sunshinyii YC6258. It matches the Rfam family "tRNA". From Rfam's summary of the family: Transfer RNA (tRNA) molecules are approximately 80 nucleotides in length. Their secondary structure includes four short double-helical elements and three loops (D, anti-codon, and T loops). The record is from Rfam by way of RNAcentral. Lineage: Bacteria; Pseudomonadati; Pseudomonadota; Gammaproteobacteria; Oceanospirillales; Saccharospirillaceae.
CGUUUGAUAGCUCAUACGGUAGAGCAGUUGACUCAUAAUCAAUGGGUAACGGGUUCGAAUCCCGUUCAAACAU